This 497-nucleotide ribosomal RNA is filed under the name uncultured bacterium. Its description in RNAcentral is "partial 16S ribosomal RNA". It matches the Rfam family "Bacterial small subunit ribosomal RNA", at positions 28 to 507 of the family's 1533-position model. The record is from RNAcentral.
GAUGAACGCUGGCGGCGUGCCUAAUACAUGCAAGUCGAGCGAACGGACGAGAAGCUUGCUUCUCUGAUGUUAGCGGCGGACGGGUGAGUAACACGUGGAUAACCUACCUAUAAGACUGGGAUAACUUCGGGAAACCGGAGCUAAUACCGGAUAAUAUUUUGAACCGCAUGGUUCAAAAGUGAAAGACGGUCUUGCUGUCACUUAUAGAUGGAUCCGCGCUGCAUUAGCUAGUUGGUAAGGUAACGGCUUACCAAGGCAACGAUGCAUAGCCGACCUGAGAGGGUGAACCGCCACACUGGAACUGAGACACGGUCCAGACUCCUACGGGAGGCAGCAGUAGGGAAUCUUCCGCAAUGGGCGAAAGCCUGACGGAGCAACGCCGCGUGAGUGAUGAAGGUCUUCGGAUCGUAAAACUCUGUUAUUAGGGAAGAACAUAUGUGUAAGUAACUGUGCACAUCUUGACGGUACCUAAUCAGAAAGCCACGGCUAACUACGUG